UAGGUCCCAAGGGUAUGGCUGUUCGCCAUUUAAAGUGGUACGCGAGCUGGGUUUAGAACGUCGUGAGACAGUUCGGUCCCUAUCUGCCGUGGGCGCUGGAGAACUGAGGGGGGCUGCUCCUAGUACGAGAGGACCGGAGUGGACGCAUCACUGGUGUUCGGGUUGUCAUGCCAAUGGCACUGCCCGGUAGCUAAAUGCGGAAGAGAUAAGUGCUGAAAGCAUCUAAGCACGAAACUUGCCCCGAGAUGAGUUCUCCCUGACCCUUUAAGGGUCCUGAAGGAACGUUGAAGACGACGACGUUGAUAGGCCGGGUGUGUAAGCGCAGCGAUGCGUUGAGCUAACCGGUACUAAUGAACCGUGAGGCUUAACCUUACAACGCCGAAGCUGUU
RNAcentral lists this ribosomal RNA (389 nucleotides) under Escherichia coli. RNAcentral describes it as "bacterial LSU rRNA". It matches the Rfam family "Bacterial large subunit ribosomal RNA", at positions 2559 to 2925 of the family's 2925-position model. The record is from RNAcentral. Lineage: Bacteria; Pseudomonadati; Pseudomonadota; Gammaproteobacteria; Enterobacterales; Enterobacteriaceae.